This 492-nucleotide ribosomal RNA is filed under the name uncultured bacterium. RNAcentral's name for it is "partial 16S ribosomal RNA". It matches the Rfam family "Bacterial small subunit ribosomal RNA", at positions 29 to 507 of the family's 1533-position model. The record is from RNAcentral.
AGUGAACGCUGGCGGUAGGCCUAACACAUGCAAGUCGAACGGCCGCACAGUAAGCUUUUGCUCUUACGGGUGGCGAGUGGCGGACGGGUGAGGAAUACAUCGGCAUCUACUUUUUCGUGGGGGAUUACGUAGGGACACUUACGCUAAUACCUCAUACGACCUACGGGUGAAAGCAGGGGAUCUUCGGACUUUGCGCGAUUGAAUUAGCCGAUGUCGGAUUAGCUAGUUGGCUAGGUAAAGGCCCACCAAGGCGACGAUCCGUAGCUGAUCUGAGAGGGUGAUCAGCCACACUGGAACUGAGACACGGUCCAGACUCCUACGGGAGGCAGCAGUGGGGAAUAUUGGACAAUGGGCGCAAGCCUGAUCCAGCCAUGCCGCGUGGGUGAAGAAGGCCUUCGGGUUGUAAAGCCCUUUUGUUGGGAAAGAAAAGCAGCAGGUUAAUACCCCGCUGUUCUGACGGUACCCAAAGAAUAAGCACCGGCUAACUUCGUG